GUACUGAUGAAGAGUUCAAACUAGGACUAAACUUCUGUCCAGUAC
This 45-nucleotide non-coding RNA is filed under the name Trichobilharzia regenti. Lineage: Eukaryota; Metazoa; Platyhelminthes; Trematoda; Strigeidida; Schistosomatidae. The record is from RNAcentral.